This 2850-nucleotide ribosomal RNA is filed under the name Pseudoalteromonas lipolytica SCSIO 04301. Its description in RNAcentral is "bacterial LSU rRNA". It matches the Rfam family "Bacterial large subunit ribosomal RNA". Lineage: Bacteria; Pseudomonadati; Pseudomonadota; Gammaproteobacteria; Alteromonadales; Pseudoalteromonadaceae. The record is from RNAcentral.
GUUGUAUGGUUAAGUGACUAAGCGUACACGGUGGAUGCCUUGGCAGUUGGAGGCGAUGAAGGACGUAUUAACUUGCGAUAAGCCUAGUCAAGCUAGUAAAAAGCGCUUGAGACUAGGAUUUCCGAAUGGGGAAACCCACCUGCUUGCAGGUAUCUUGCACUGAAUACAUAGGUGUAAGAGGCGAACGCGGAGAACUGAAACAUCUAAGUACCCGUAGGAACAGAAAUCAACCGAGAUUCCGGAAGUAGCGGCGAGCGAAACCGGACCAGCCCUUAAGCUUAUUAUGUGUUAGUGGAACAUUCUGGAAAGUAUGACGAUACAGGGUGAUAGUCCCGUACACGAAAAUGCAUCUUAAGUGAAAUCGAGUAGGUCGGAGCACGUGAAACUUUGACUGAAUAUAGGUGGACCAUCAUCUAAGGCUAAAUACUCCCAACUGACCGAUAGUGAACCAGUACCGUGAGGGAAAGGCGAAAAGAACCCCUGUGAGGGGAGUGAAAUAGAACCUGAAACCGUGUACGUACAAGCAGUAGGAGCCCACUUGUUGGGUGACUGCGUACCUUUUGUAUAAUGGGUCAGCGACUUAUAUUUUGUAGCGAGGUUAACCGAUUAGGGUAGCCGUAGGGAAACCGAGUCUUAACUGGGCGUUGAGUUGCAAGGUAUAGACCCGAAACCCGGUGAUCUAGCCAUGGGCAGGUUGAAGGUUGAGUAACAUCAACUGGAGGACCGAACCCACUAACGUUGAAAAGUUAGGGGAUGACCUGUGGCUAGGAGUGAAAGGCUAAUCAAACCGGGAGAUAGCUGGUUCUCCCCGAAAUCUAUUUAGGUAGAGCCUCGGACGAAUACUUACGGGGGUAGAGCACUGUUAAGGCUAGGGGGUCAUCCCGACUUACCAACCCUUUGCAAACUCCGAAUACCGUAAAGUACUAUCCGGGAGACACACGGCGGGUGCUAACGUCCGUCGUGAAGAGGGAAACAACCCAGACCGCCAGCUAAGGUCCCAAAGUCAUAGUUAAGUGGGAAACGAUGUGGAAAGGCCCAGACAGCCAGGAGGUUGGCUUAGAAGCAGCCACCCUUUAAAGAAAGCGUAAUAGCUCACUGGUCGAGUCGGUCUGCGCGGAAGAUGUAACGGGGCUAAACUAUGCACCGAAGCUGCGGAUUCAAAAUUUAUUAUCAGAAGUGCGAAUGCUGACAUGAGUAACGAUAAUGCGGGUGAAAAACCCGCACGCCGGAAGACCAAGGGUUCCUAUCCCAUGUUAAUCAGGGUAGGGUAAGUCGACCCCUAAGGCGAGGCCGAAAGGCGUAGUCGAUGGGAAACGGGUUAAUAUUCCCGUACUUGGUAUAAUUGCGAUGGGGGGACGGAGCAGGCUAAGCAAGCAUGGCGUUGGUUGUCCAUGUGAAAGUGAGUAGGUUGAGAGUUUAGGAAAAUCCGGACUCUUAAGACUGAGACACGAGACGAGCACCUAAGGGUGUGAAGUUGUUGAUGCCAUACUUCCAGGAAAAGCCUCUAAGCUUCAGAUUAUACCGAAUCGUACCCCAAACCGACACAGGUGGUCAGGUAGAGAAUACUAAGGCGCUUGAGAGAACUCGGGUGAAGGAACUAGGCAAAAUCGUACCGUAACUUCGGGAGAAGGUACGCUCCGAUUGGUGAUGAGACUUGCUCUUUAAGCUGAUUGGAGCCGCAGUGACCAGGUGGCUGGGACUGUUUAUUAAAAACACAGCACUGUGCAAAAUCGCAAGAUGACGUAUACGGUGUGACACCUGCCCGGUGCCGGAAGGUUAAUUGAUGGGGUUAGUUUUCGGACGAAGCUCUUGAUCGAAGCCCCGGUAAACGGCGGCCGUAACUAUAACGGUCCUAAGGUAGCGAAAUUCCUUGUCGGGUAAGUUCCGACCUGCACGAAUGGUGUAACCAUGGCCACGCUGUCUCCACCCGAGACUCAGUGAAAUUGAAAUCGCAGUGAAGAUGCUGUGUACCCGCGGCUAGACGGAAAGACCCCGUGAACCUUUACUACAGCUUGGCACUGAACAUUGAACCUACAUGUGUAGGAUAGGUGGGAGGCUUUGAAGCAGAGACGCUAGUCUUUGUGGAGCCGUCCUUGAAAUACCACCCUUGUAGUUUUGAUGUUCUAACGUUGGCCCCUAAUCGGGGUUACGGACAGUGCCUGGUGGGUAGUUUGACUGGGGCGGUCUCCUCCCAAAGAGUAACGGAGGAGCACGAAGGUUGGCUAAGUACGGUCGGACAUCGUACGGUUAGUGUAAUGGUAGAAGCCAGCUUAACUGCGAGACAGACACGUCGAGCAGGUACGAAAGUAGGUCAUAGUGAUCCGGUGGUUCUGAAUGGAAGGGCCAUCGCUCAACGGAUAAAAGGUACUCCGGGGAUAACAGGCUGAUACCGCCCAAGAGUUCAUAUCGACGGCGGUGUUUGGCACCUCGAUGUCGGCUCAUCACAUCCUGGGGCUGAAGUCGGUCCCAAGGGUAUGGCUGUUCGCCAUUUAAAGUGGUACGCGAGCUGGGUUUAGAACGUCGUGAGACAGUUCGGUCCCUAUCUGCCGUGGGCGUUUGAGAAUUGAGAGGGGUUGCUCCUAGUACGAGAGGACCGGAGUGAACGAACCGCUGGUGUUCGGGUUGUCAUGCCAAUGGCAUUGCCCGGUAGCUACGUUCGGAACUGAUAAGCGCUGAAAGCAUCUAAGCGCGAAGCAGGCCUCGAGAUGAGUUCUCACUAGACUUUUAAAGUCUCUGAAGGGCCGUUGAAGACUACAACGUUGAUAGGCAGGAUGUGGAAGUGGUGUGAGCCAUUAAGCUAACCUGUACUAAUUACCCGUGAGGCUUAACCAUACAACGCCAAACGCGUUU